GAUCUGANUGGUUUAACGGCUGCGAUUGAAACCGUACUAAGGUAGCAUAAUAAUUUGCCCUUUAAUUGGGGGAGAGAAUGAAUGGUUUGACGGUAAAAAAGCUGUUUUAAAAAUAAAAAAAGAAGUUAACUUUUAAGUGAAAAGGCUUAAGUUUUUAUAAAAGACGAGAAGACCCCGUCGAGCUUAAUUAGAAUAACUUAAAUGUAGGUUAUUUAAAAUUUUAUUGGGGCAAUAGAAAAUGAAAUGAAUCAUUUUUUUUAUUAUAAGGAUCCAGUUUUGACUGAAAAAAGCAAAAGCUACCGCGGGGAUAACAGGGUAAUUUUUUCUGAGAGUUCAUAUUUAAGAAGAAGUUUGCUACCUCGAUGUUGGAUUAGAAUUUCUUUAUGCUUGCAGCAGGUAUAAUAGUAGGACUGUUCGUCCUUUAAAAUUUUACGU
This 435-nucleotide ribosomal RNA is filed under the name Corbicula fluminea. RNAcentral describes it as "partial 16S ribosomal RNA". It matches the Rfam family "Bacterial large subunit ribosomal RNA", at positions 1910 to 2601 of the family's 2925-position model. Lineage: Eukaryota; Metazoa; Mollusca; Bivalvia; Venerida; Cyrenidae. The record is from RNAcentral.